Molecule: small nucleolar RNA, 50 nt
Filed under: Pyrobaculum aerophilum str. IM2
Lineage: Archaea; Thermoproteati; Thermoproteota; Thermoprotei; Thermoproteales; Thermoproteaceae
Description: PAEsR63
Source: RNAcentral
GUGAUGCUGUCAGGGUUACGGUGAUAUGUGACCGGAGGCGCUACAGCUGA